GGGGAUUUAGCUCAGUGGUAGAGUGCUUGCCUAGCAAGCACAAGGCACUGGGUUCGGUCCCCAGCUCCG
Molecule: transfer RNA, 69 nt
Filed under: Rattus norvegicus (Norway rat)
Lineage: Eukaryota; Metazoa; Chordata; Mammalia; Rodentia; Muridae
Rfam family: tRNA
About the family: Transfer RNA (tRNA) molecules are approximately 80 nucleotides in length. Their secondary structure includes four short double-helical elements and three loops (D, anti-codon, and T loops).
Source: Rfam by way of RNAcentral